GGGCCUGUAGUCUAAUGGACAGGAUAAACGGUUUCGGCCCGUUUGAUCAGGGUUCGAAUCCCUGCAGGCCCG
This 72-nucleotide transfer RNA is filed under the name Candidatus Woesearchaeota archaeon ex4484_78. Its description in RNAcentral is "tRNA-Arg". It matches the Rfam family "tRNA". From Rfam's summary of the family: Transfer RNA (tRNA) molecules are approximately 80 nucleotides in length. RNAcentral also lists the same sequence under 1 other name. Lineage: Archaea; Nanobdellati; Candidatus Woesearchaeota. The record is from RNAcentral.